This is a non-coding RNA of Paramuricea clavata, 435 nucleotides long. Lineage: Eukaryota; Metazoa; Cnidaria; Anthozoa; Malacalcyonacea; Plexauridae. The record is from the annotation of a GenBank genome assembly.
UUUGGGAAUAUUUUACUUGGUUGUACUGUAAUAUAGACUAAAUAAAGUUGAUGUUUCUCAGUGGUUGAUUUAUUGUGUGGUGAUUACUAUCAGAGACAUUGUACUGCAAGACGUCCAGUUAUUCUUUUGCAAUAGACCUUCUGCAUAAUGAUGUCACAAGGCUUGAUGCCUGUGAGGAAUGCUGGUCUUAGUACUCAUCGCCUAGAAAAAUUAAACAAUUUAUCCACUAUCGACAUUUUCCUGGGCAAUGAUUACUAAGACCAGCACUCCUUGCAGACAUUUUGUGACAUCAUUAUACAUAAUGUUUGUUAGACUGUUCUUCUAUAAUUCCCAAUUUCUUCUGUAGUUGUUAGUUGUGAGUGAGCAAUAGUUGAGUAAAUCCAGUAAAGCUUGAACCUGAGCACCAUUGUCUCCCUGGGUUAUAUGUUCCACGUC